UCUAGAGUAAUUUCCGAAAACUUUGCUGGAAGAAUAUUUUGGGUAAGCUCAGAAGUUCUGUAAAAAUUCUGAAUAGUUUUAGGCCGAAGUUUGGAUGAACCGUUUGUAGUUAUUUUUUUAUUUUUUUAAGAAAAAUUCUAAAUAUUCCCUCGAUAAAAUAAAAAAAAUAUUGGAUUGGAUUUCAAUUAUGCAAAGUAAAGAAAUCUAUGCCGUGGAAACUUCGUGCUUCGAAGAUGUUAACAAACUAGGUAUACUUGUUUUUAGUACACUCAGGUUUUUUUUCACACGGUUUGGUUUUAGUCGUUUAAGACCUUCAGCGUCAAUGAAACAAUGAGUUAACCCCACGAAAAAAUUCACAAAAAAUCAAAGAAAAUUCAGGUGGUAUUGAAAAAGAUGUGAAAGUUCGGGUUAACCGAAAAAUUAAUGAAUUCCAACCGUGUAAAAAAAAACCUGGGUGUAUAGCAUUUAAAAUAAAUCGACCUGAAAGAAAAUAGAGUUUUUAAAUGACGAAUAAUAACUUUCAAGGCAAUCUGUCUCCAAAUACAUCACAUCAAAAACAGUACAGAAUUAGAACAAAUUCAAAUUUAAACCAAAGGAUUGCUUAUUUUUACAGGGUACUGCUUGGUACGGAACCACAAAAUAAGUACUAAUUUGCUAUCACCUCAACAUCUUGAUAUUAAUUAUAUCUAUGGUAUGAUUAGCUCUAAACAUUCUCACGAUUGAUCCAAGCAAUAAUUA
Long non-coding RNA from Armigeres subalbatus, 738 nucleotides. RefSeq lists it as uncharacterized. The transcript is spliced from 3 exons. Lineage: Eukaryota; Metazoa; Arthropoda; Insecta; Diptera; Culicidae. The record is from RefSeq and is a predicted model, not a curated record.